UCCCACCUGACCCCAUGCCGAACUCAGAAGUGAAACGCCGUAGCGCCGAUGGUAGUGUGGGGUCUCCCCAUGUGAGAGUAGGGAACUGCCAGGC
RNAcentral lists this ribosomal RNA (94 nucleotides) under Klebsiella aerogenes. RNAcentral also lists the same sequence under 51 other names. The record is from RNAcentral. Lineage: Bacteria; Pseudomonadati; Pseudomonadota; Gammaproteobacteria; Enterobacterales; Enterobacteriaceae.